GACGAACGCUGGCGGCGUGCUUAACACAUGCAAGUCGAACGGAAAGGCCCUGCUUUUGUGGGGUGCUCGAUUGGCGAACGGGUGAGUAACACGUGAGUAACCUGCCCUUGUCUUUGUGAUAUCUUCUGGUAACUGGGGCUAAUACCCGAUAGGAUCUCCUGCUGCAUGGUGUGGGUUGGAAAUUUUCGGCUGUUGGGGAUGUUCUGGCGGCUUCUCCGCUUUUUGUUGGGGUAGUGGCUUACCAAGGCUUUGACGGGUAGCCGGCCUGAGAGGGUUACCGGCGACAUUGGGACUGAGAUACGGCCCAGACGGGAACGGGAGGCAGCAGUGGGGAAUAUUGCACAAGGAGCGGAAGCGAGAUGCAGAAACGCCGCGAGCGGGAUGACGGGCUUCGGGGUAUAAACAGAUUUAGCAGGAGACGAAGCGUGAGUGACGGUAAUGGGUAAAGAAGCACCGGCUAACUACGUG
This 468-nucleotide ribosomal RNA is filed under the name uncultured bacterium. Its description in RNAcentral is "partial 16S ribosomal RNA". It matches the Rfam family "Bacterial small subunit ribosomal RNA", at positions 28 to 507 of the family's 1533-position model. The record is from RNAcentral.